AAAAAAAAAAGACCUGUCUUUCCUGUGUUUCAUCUUAGGAUCACUGUGCCUCCCAAGGUGACAAAUUUCAAGUGUCACAGGCUGACAGGAAAGCGGAGAGGCAGCCCGCAAGCGGGCAGGGGGGCAGGCCUCGGGUCAGAGGCCGGCAGACAGGGCGGAAAGUCAGGUGGACCGACGGGAGGCACGCCAGGCCGUGAUACAUGCGCAGAGACCCGGGCAGCACAACAGGAAAGCAGGCGGCUGGGCAGACCCGCGGCCAGGCUGGCGGGCAGCGCGAGGCAGGCCGAAAAGCAGAUAGGCAGGUGGCCAGGAGGGCAUGAGGGCUGUGGGGAUGGAUGGCCUUUGGGCACAUCCCCCGGGGCCGCCCCGAGCAGCCCUCAGCCGCUUUUGAACCUUUCCAGGGCCAGGCUGCUGCUUCUCCCACCCAGCCGAGCCUGGCCACACGCAACCCCCGCCUCGGGAAGGCGGCGCUCUGGGCCCAGGAACCGGCUCGACCCUCACUCUGCUCCAAGCCUGGCCGGCCGCCUGCUUCCCCAGGGCCGAGUCACGCCUGACCCACUCCAAACACACAAGUCACACACCAGUCCAGCUACAGACACCUGCGUCUGCAGGGAGCAAUCCCCAGAGGUCCGCAUAGCACGCUCACGGCUUAACACGAGCGUAUCCCGAUCCGAUGCCGCCCUCAUAGGUCCGGCGGGGGGGGGGGGGGGGGUUGGCACGCACGUGGAGCCCCACGAAGACACAGGUGCAAAGGGAGGCACAAUCGGAGGCACAGCAUCCUCAAGGGGGGUCGCGGGAGCACCGCCGCAGCACGCGCCACUGUUCGCUCGGGUGGGAGGCAUUCCGCAGCUCGCUGCGCCCGUGGAAACCCACCGGUACCACAGCCAGUGGCUAGAUUCUGGCCUCACCCUCGCCUCUCCGCUCAGUGUGGCACGGCCGCCCCUGUCCUCGCCCCGGCCGACUCCUCCUCCCACCUCACCCGUCUCUCACCGACUCCUCCACGAGAGCCCUCGAGGUUGCGGCAUCCGAGCUCAGGCUCAGGCUUCGGCGGCUUACUCUUCCCUCCCGGCCCCAGAGGUGAUCCCACCUGCUCCCGGAGUGUCCAGUCCAUCUUAG
This 1116-nucleotide long non-coding RNA is filed under the name Felis catus (domestic cat). RNAcentral describes it as "lncRNA (ENSFCAG00000053056.1)". The record is from RNAcentral. Lineage: Eukaryota; Metazoa; Chordata; Mammalia; Carnivora; Felidae.